This 1775-nucleotide long non-coding RNA is filed under the name Chinchilla lanigera (long-tailed chinchilla). RNAcentral's name for it is "lncRNA (ENSCLAG00000025649.1)". The record is from RNAcentral. Lineage: Eukaryota; Metazoa; Chordata; Mammalia; Rodentia; Chinchillidae.
AAAUAUUUUUGUAUAUGGGAACAAUAAACUGUUUUACUUGAUAAAGACCAUUUGUUAUGUUUUCAGCAGUUUCCCCCAAAUGAAGCUACUGAACUAUCUUGAGGAGCAACGGUUGAACUGUUCAUUGAGGACAAGCCUGGGGUACCUCACCUGGACUGUGUUACACUUCCUGGAAGGAGCAGCACUGGGUAAAGGAACAACAGGAAAGGCAAUGAUGUGGGCCGUCAAGAAUGUAGACAUCCUGAUUCUGUCUUUCACAGUUGACAAGGAUUGGUGCCAGAUAAUGCAGUAAAACCUCGGCUUGAAAAAUUAAACUUCAAUAUGUUUUGGCCGUAAUAGUCCCAUUAGGAAGCUGUGUCUUAUAUUCACUUUGGUGGGCUGGGAAACAUGACCUUUUUCACAAUUAUUGGAUUAGUAGAAGUAGGUCUAUUAUAGUUAUAAUGUACUUAAAUUGCAACAAGGAGCAUGCCAAGGACUUCUUUUUAAAACACCCUGGUGAACAAAAUGGAGGAAAUAUGAGUUUGAUCAUUGUUCCUUUAGUUGAAUUUUGAAAAUUUAAGUACUAAUUUUAUUGAGCACUUACUAUGUGACAGGUGUUGUAUUGAAGAUUUUAUGUGCAUUAAUCAAUUAAUCUUCAUAAAACCCUACAAACUCUGCAUUACUAACUCCAUCAUCCAGAUGAGGUAACCAUUUGGAAAGGAUGUUAAUUAUUAAUUCUGUUUCCCUGGAGCAGGAAUUCUUCCCAAGUGUGGAAGAGGAGGCCAUACUUGCUACAGGAUUUAUCAGAUUCACUUGGAUAAGAGUUUUUCUUUCAAAGCAUAAAGCGCUUAACCUUCGUUUUAGUUUCCCUCUUAGAAAACCUGCAUCUCAUCACCUUGGAUAUCUCAAAUGUUUUUUAAGCUCUAAUUGAUGUGCACGGGUGGUUGCAAGCUCUGUCAGAUACACUGAGGUGGGAAAAAGGUUGAGCUUUACUACGGCAAAGGGAUGCCCUUGAUGGUAAGCUGUAAGACUCUGUACCUAUUUCUGUCUUGGUUUCAACAUUAUAGUUAAUGUCUUCACUGGAGAUGUAGAAAAGUUUGCCAAUCAAGUGUUAUAAGAGAACUGCAAUGAGAGAGGAAGUAAUACGCUGGAUGAAAGAAUCAGGACUCUAAGAAGAAUUCACUAGACUACAAAGAUGGCCCAUAAACAACAAAAUAAACUUAAUAAAAGUAAGUGUGGCCUCCAGUACUAGUUUCACAAAAUAAACAAAAAUUUUAAAACCAGUAACUCUACAGGUUGGAUACAUGUUUAAUGUGGUUGCCAAAAAUGUUAGUGGGAAUUUAGGUUGCAACAAUAACUGUAUAGAGUCUAGAAUACAGGAGGUGAUUAUUGUACUUUUUUCUGAGUUUAUAGAUGCCACACCUCAAUCAAGUCCUCUGCUCUGUUAUGGCAGUUGUCUUAAAAAAGACAAAACAGAAUUUAGAAAGCAAACUCUAGUCUAGAGGGUGAAAUGGGGUAUGAUUGCUGUCUUCCAGUAUCUUUCAGUUUGUCAUGAGAAAGGGUGGUAUCUGUAUGUUUUGACCCUUUGGAACAAAAUUAGGAUUACUGGAUGGAAGUUACAGCAGAGCUGACUCAAGGUGAAAUGGGAGUGUGGGAAGGGAAUGAGCUCCAUGUUAUGGGAAGCAUCUAAGCAGAAGCUGGAUGACUACGUAUUAGUGACUUGAACUUGCUAUCUGACCUCAGUUCUGCAGAAUGAGAAUCACCGUAGGCAUUUCUUGUGUAUUUGUUGAUCAGAA